This 659-nucleotide long non-coding RNA is filed under the name Elaeis guineensis (African oil palm). RNAcentral's name for it is "long non-coding RNA (EGUI_LNC052260)". The record is from RNAcentral. Lineage: Eukaryota; Viridiplantae; Streptophyta; Magnoliopsida; Arecales; Arecaceae.
CAAUAGAUACUAUACCUUCUGGUGGAUCUACUAAGGUCCAUACUAGAUUGGAGUAUAUUGAGUCAAUUUCUGAUUUCAUGACUUCCAACCAUUUUUCGGAAUCGAUGUCUAACAUUAUCUAAUUGUAGGUUCUGGGAUCAUCUCCAUAUUUUCUAUUUUCUAUAAAGAACAUUUCUUUUACUUCCUCUAAAAUAAUAUUUAAGUACCUUUUAAGAGGAUGAGAAAUCCUACUUGAUCUUCGAGGUGGAGGAGCUACGUGUAUUGGCUUAGUUUGAAUAGGUUCAAUGGGUUCCAUGAUUCGUUACUCUUCAAAGAUUCUCUUCGAGCUCAAUUUGCCUUCCACUAUUUCUAUCUUGGAUAAAUUAUUGUUUCAGAAAGACAGCAUAUCGACUCACAAUCACAUUAUAAUCCUCUAAAAGUAAAAGUAAUAUCCUGAAGAUUCUUUUAGAUAUCCUAUGAAACAAGCUCUCAUAGACCUUGCCUCUAACUUGUCUGUCUGUUAUUAUUUGACAUGGGACUGGACAUCCUCAAAUCCUAAGUUGAUCGAGAUUUAAUUUCUUAUCAUGCCAUAUUUCAUAUAGUAUGGUAGAAACAGAUUUAGAGAGAAUCCUAUUCACUAAAUAACUUGUGGUAAGCAAAGCAUAUUUCCAUAAAAAUAA